UGGACUAACCAAGGUCAUAUCUCGAUCUUUGUCGGAUCAAAUUUUCAUACAUAAGUCCAUAGGAAUAGUCCAAGGUAUAAGCUCCUGACUAGAUAUUUUUUAAUCUUUAUCGAAUCGAAUUCUCAUGCAUAAUUCCGUGGAGGCUAUUCUACAUAAUGAGGCUAGUUCAAACCAUAACCUUUCCAUCCGAUUAUUACAUGUUGAUUUUAUUAAAUCAAUUUUAGCUUACAGUGUGAUCAAG
This 241-nucleotide long non-coding RNA is filed under the name Elaeis guineensis (African oil palm). RNAcentral describes it as "long non-coding RNA (EGUI_LNC061885)". The record is from RNAcentral. Lineage: Eukaryota; Viridiplantae; Streptophyta; Magnoliopsida; Arecales; Arecaceae.